RNAcentral lists this ribosomal RNA (484 nucleotides) under uncultured bacterium. RNAcentral describes it as "partial 16S ribosomal RNA". It matches the Rfam family "Bacterial small subunit ribosomal RNA", at positions 30 to 507 of the family's 1533-position model. The record is from RNAcentral.
AUUGAACGCUGGCGGCAGGCCUAACACAUGCAAGUCGAGCGGAUGAAGGGGGCUUGCUCCUGGAUUCAGCGGCGGACGGGUGAGUAAUGCCUAGGAAUCUGCCUUGUAGUGGGGGAUAACGUCCGGAAACGGGCGCUAAUACCGCAUACGUCCUGAUGUAGAAAGUGGGGGAUCUUGGGACCUCACGCUAUCAGAUGAGCCUAGGUCGGUUUAGCGAGUUGGUGGGGUAAAGGCCUACCAAGGCGACUAUCCGUAACUGGUCUGAGAGGAUGAUCAGUCACACUGGAACUGAGACACGGUCCCGACUCCUACGGGAGGCAGCAGUGGGGAAUAUUGGACAAUGGGCGAAAGCCUGAUACAGCCAUGCCGCGUGUGUGAAGAAGGUCUUCGGAUUGUAAAGCAAUUUAAGUUGGGAGGAAGGGCAGUAAGUUAAUACCUUGCUGUUUUGACGUUACCAACAGAAUAAGCACCGGCUAACUUCGUG